Molecule: ribosomal RNA, 253 nt
Filed under: uncultured bacterium
Lineage: Bacteria
Description: partial 16S ribosomal RNA
Rfam family: Bacterial small subunit ribosomal RNA
Source: RNAcentral
UACGUAGGGGGCAAGCGUUGUCCGGAAUCAUUGGGCGUAAAGCGCGUGUAGGCGGCUUGGUAAGUCCGUUCUGAAAGCCCGGGGCUCAACCCCGGGAGGCGGAUGGAUACUGCUGAGCUCGAGUCCGGAAGAGGCGAGUGGAAUUCCUGGUGUAGCGGUGAAAUGCGUAGAUAUCUGGAGGAAUACCGGUGGCGAAGGCGGCAUCCUGGACCGACAUUGACGCUGAACGGCGAAAGCUAGGGGAGCAAACGGG